GGUUUCUUGAUUAGUAUAGGAAAUUUAACCUGCCCACUGAUUAAUUUAAAGGGCCGCGGUAUUUUGACUGUGCAAAGGUAGCAUAAUCAUUAGUCCUUUAAUUGAGGACUUGUAUGAAUGGUUGGACGAGGUGAUAACUGUUUUAUAGUAAUUGGUAAAUGUUGAAGUUGAAAUUUAAGUAAAAAGACUUAAAUGAAUUUGAGGGACGAGAAGACCCUAUAGAGUUUAAUAAAUUGAUAAAGGUAAUAAGGUUAAUAAUUAAUAUUUAAUUGUUAUUAUGUAAAUUUAUUUGAUUGGGGUGAUAGAAAGAUAAUUUUAACUCUUUUUUAAUUUAAAUAUAAGUUGGUAGAAUAGGUUAUGAUCCAUUGAAAUUAAUUAAAUAUGAUAAAAAGAUAAAAUUACCUUAGGGAUAACAGCAUAAUUUUUUUUGAGAGUUCUUAUUGAAAAAGAAGAUUAUGACCUCGAUGUUGGAUUAAGAUAAAAUUUAGAUGUAGAUGUUUAAUUAUGUUAGGUCUGUUCGACCUUUAAAAUCUUACA
RNAcentral lists this ribosomal RNA (537 nucleotides) under Thesprotiella peruana. RNAcentral's name for it is "partial 16S ribosomal RNA". It matches the Rfam family "Bacterial large subunit ribosomal RNA", at positions 1832 to 2600 of the family's 2925-position model. Lineage: Eukaryota; Metazoa; Arthropoda; Insecta; Mantodea; Thespidae. The record is from RNAcentral.